GAGUUUGAUCGUGGCUCAGAAUCAACGCUGGCGGCGUGCCUAACACAUGCAAGUCGAACGAGAAAGUGGAGCAAUCCACGAGUACAGUGGCGCACGGGUGAGUAACACGUGACUAACCUACCCUUGAGUGGGGGAUAACCUAGAGAAAUCUGGGCUAAUACCGCAUAAUACCUUCGGGUCAAAGGAGCAAUUCGCUUAAGGAGGGGGUCGCGGCCGAUUAGUUAGUUGGCGGGGUAAUGGCCCACCAAGACUAUGAUCGGUAUCCGGCCUGAGAGGGCGCACGGACACACUGGAACUGAAACACGGUCCAGACUCCUACGGGAGGCAGCAGUGGGGAAUUUUGCGCAAUGGGGGGAAACCCUGACGCAGCAACGCCGCGUGGAGGAUGAAGUCCCUUGGGACGUAAACUCCUUUCGAUCGGGACGGUAAUGACGGUACCGGGAGAGAAGCCCCGGCUAACUUCGUGCC
RNAcentral lists this ribosomal RNA (468 nucleotides) under uncultured bacterium. RNAcentral's name for it is "bacterial SSU rRNA". It matches the Rfam family "Bacterial small subunit ribosomal RNA", at positions 9 to 509 of the family's 1533-position model. The record is from RNAcentral.